UGAGUUGAUUGACCUUAAUCGACUACUAGAGCAUAGUCAAUUAAAGUAAUCGACUAUUGAAAAUGUACAUAGUCGAUUAAAGAUCCAGCCUGCGCGGAUUUCUCUACCCGCGCCAUUAUCCAUCCGAUUUUCCAAAAAAACCUAAAUCUACCUCCCCAUCGUCUUCACACUGCCGCCACACCACAUUUUCUCAACCACAGUGGGAGUUCGAUCUCCCAGUAUCCCAGUUUCAAGAA
RNAcentral lists this long non-coding RNA (236 nucleotides) under Erythranthe guttata (spotted monkey flower). RNAcentral's name for it is "long non-coding RNA (EGUT_LNC001829)". The record is from RNAcentral. Lineage: Eukaryota; Viridiplantae; Streptophyta; Magnoliopsida; Lamiales; Phrymaceae.